Molecule: ribosomal RNA, 433 nt
Filed under: uncultured bacterium
Lineage: Bacteria
Description: partial 16S ribosomal RNA
Rfam family: Bacterial small subunit ribosomal RNA
Source: RNAcentral
AACGAACGCUGGCGGCAUGCCUAACACAUGCCAGUCGAACGAGACCUUCGGGUCUAGUGGCGCACGGGUGCGUAACGCGUGGGAACCUGCCCUUAGGUUCGGAAUAACUCCCCGAAAGGGGUGCUAAUACCGGAUAAUGUCUUCGGACCAAAGAUUUAUCGCCUUUGGUUGGGCCCGCGUUGGAUUAGCUAGUUGGUAGGGUAAAAGCCUACCAAGGCGACGAUCCAUAGCUGGUCUGAGAGGAUGAUCAGCCACACUGGGACUGAGACACGGCCCAGACUCCUACGGGAGGCAGCAGUGGGGAAUAUUGGACAAUGGGCGAAAGCCUGAUCCAGCAAUGCCGCGUGAGUGAUGAAGGCCUUAGGGUUGUAAAGCCCUUUUACCCGGGAUGAUAAUGACAGUACCGGGAGAAUAAGCUCCGGCUAACUCCGUG